GAUAGAACCUACUUCUCAUAUAAGUAGGUGGAUGCGGCCUCGAUUAGCGGGGGAACCACAUGAAAAAAAGCGAGCUACUGGGUGUACCUCCUGGGUAGUUUGGAAAUCACCUAAGAUAUAUAUGUAUAUAUUUAUAAAUAAAAGUUAAUAUAUAUAAAUUAACAUUAAUUUUUUUUAACAGGAAAUGCACAAUGCUAAAAACUGCGUAGGAGAUUUUAAUACAAUAGUACUACCAAGCCUGAUGUUGGCCGCUAUUUCAAUGAAUGCAGCAGUGUCACAGCUAGCAAUCAAAAGUAACAAGAUAUUGAGGAAAUGCAGAUGGCAAUAAACUGUGUAGGAGUUCAUGAUUGCAAUAGAAUAAAAUCGACCAAGCCUGAAGUCAGCAGCCCCUUCAAUGAAUGCAGCAGUGUGACAGCCAGCAAUCAAAAGUUACAAGAUAUCGAGGAAAUGCAGAAGGCAAAAAACUGCGUAGGAGAUCAUUAAUACAAAAGUAUUAUAUAAACCAAACCUGAUGUUGCCAGCUCCUUCAAUGAAUGCAGCAGUGUGACAGCCAGCAAUCAAAAGUAACAAGAUAUCGAGGAAAUGCAGAAGGCAAAAAACUGCGCAGGAGAUUAUUAAUACAAUAGUAUUAUAUCAACCAAGCCUGAUGUCGGUAGCUUCUUCAAUGAAUGCAGCAGUGUGACAGCCAGCAAUCAAUAGUGAUAGUGACAAGAAUCUAGGAAAUACAGAAGGCAAAGAAGCAGAUGUCAUCAAAGAAGAUCUUUGUUCCUGCAAUGUUUCCGCAGACGAUACAUCCAACAGAGCGAAGUGGAAGGAAAAGACUCGGAAAAAAGACCCCACCACCAUAUGGGAACAAUGCAAGGGAGAGAGAGAGAAUAUAAUUUUAUAUUUUUAUUUUUUGAUAACAUAAAAUAAACCAACAAUAUCCUACACAUUUUUUUUAUUUCUUUUUGUGUCUGUCUUAAUAGUUAUUACAAAUCUGUGAUGCGAAACAAACUAUACGAAAACGUCAA
Molecule: long non-coding RNA, 1013 nt
Organism: Pectinophora gossypiella (pink bollworm)
Lineage: Eukaryota; Metazoa; Arthropoda; Insecta; Lepidoptera; Gelechiidae
Exons: 5
Source: RefSeq, a predicted model, not a curated record